AUCGGCACCAGAUCGGCUGCCCACUGUCGGCUGAGGAGGAGGAGGAGGCGGACUCAAACGGGAAAUAGCUGCGUCACUUCAAGGAAUUGUGAAGCAAGACGGGCAAGACGGGCAAGACCGGCCGGCACCUGUAGAAUAACAACGGCCUUAUCUGUGUCUGACUCUUACUUAUCAUGUCUGCUGCUGUUCCCAGGAAGACAGAGCUGAGACAUUACGCACGAUUCCACCUUUUGUUCACCCACCUGAAUACAAAGAAACAAACAAUCAAUCCAAUAAUAGGCUAAUUAAAGUAGUACAUGUGUGACCUAUAGUGACAUUUGACCUCAUCAGUUCAUCCUGUGCCAAAUUCUGAAGGAUCUCCCUCCAGGCAUUCCUGAGAUAUCACCGUCUGCAACACGUUUCCAGACAGGACAGUGAACACAAUCCCACCAAAGCUGCGUUCAAUGUCCACAUUUUUAGUUUAUACACAUGCCCUCAAAAUGUUUAAUGAUACAUUUAUUCUGUCUGACAUACAACAAAAUGACUGUGGAUCUGCCUUGAACAUUAACAUGUGCUCUCUCUUUGCCAUUUGGUCAUGUGACCUGUGGUUGUGACAUACUUUUUUGUUUCUGAUGAUCCUGAGAUAUCACAUCCAUGAAAAAAUAAUGACCUCACAUAACCUCUGGCUGUCAUUGAUGAAUGUAUAUAUAGUGGUUUAAUUGAGUAAAAUCAGUAGUACCCAUUCAUAUAACACAUGGCAUUCAAACCAUUUCAUUGCUUCCAGAUUAUUAAUUUGUGAUUGAUUUAGCUUUCUGUAUCAGAGGGGCAGGAGAGCAAAGCCUCACGUGACCUUGCUGCCCUAAAACAGCUCACUCAGCAGAGCAAGACAAGUGCUUCCUCAGAAAAACCACAUCCUUUUUAGAUCUGAAACUUUCCAUACGUGCACGUGUUACGUUUUCCCACAUGAAUAUUUCAAGCCAGCUGUGAGGCUCAUCUCUGACUCUGCAUCUGAUGCUGCCAAUCUGCUAUUUUACUUUUGUACUCUGCAGCCUGGCUUGGCUCUCUUCUUCCUUGGAGUGCAAUAGGACGCAGUAUCCCUGGCCAGUAGUGUCGCCCAAGUUUUGCUGUAACAUGUGUCCACCAGGUCAUCGCAUGAUCCGGCGAACAAAUGACGUGUGUGGCAUUACAUGUGAAGCCUGCCAGGACAACCAGUACAUAGAGGCUCACAAUGUGGAGAUGAACUGCAAGUUUUGUGAAGUUUGUAACAAAGAAAAUAUGGUGUACAAGUCAAAUUGCAGUGCCACUCAUAACGCUGUGUGCGCAUGCAAAGCUGGGUACAGAUGCGAGAACCAAGACUGCACUGCAUGUGAGCUGAUCCCAACCACCACCAAGAAACCCACCCUCCCUCCGCCAACUAAAGCCUUGAAACCUACAACGCCGAGUGCACCCCCUAAACCAAUGGGAGAUAAGGUGUGGUUCCUGGUGAUAAUUGCCCUCCUUUGUGCUGGGAUCGCACUGGCUGUGGUAACAAAAAUCAAGCCGUUUCUACGCUGGACCAGAUCCAUUUAUGGCUACUUUCUGCCAGACAAACAGGAGCAUACAGAUGAUGCUGACAUAGAGGAUAAUGACAUGCCAAAGCCUGUUCAGGAAGUCUGUGGGAAAUGCGACCAACCUAUUGAAGUAUGAUAUAAAAGACUAGGACCCGAACCUGAUGAGGAAUUACAGGACACAGAGUGUCACAAAGUUGUGGACAACUUUCGUCAAACGGAGCAGCACAGCCCUCUGACAAAUGGAACCACAGAAGAUGGUUCAAGGCCAGCUGUGCUUCCUGAGAGGACAGAAGAACCUGUGACAUCUGUAACUGUUUAGAAACACUGAAAGCCUGAACAUAAAGGUUUGGACAGUGACUAAGCAUGACUAGGAAAUUUUGUAACAUAUUUGGAAGGUACUUUGGCACACGAUAUUCAGAUGCUUACCUUUGUAUGUAUGUAUAUAUAAAAAUGCUUUUAGAUACAUUUUUUUCAUUUCUUUAUUAAAAAUAAACAUUCUGUUUAUAC
This is a long non-coding RNA of Parambassis ranga (Indian glassy fish), 2036 nucleotides long. The record is from Ensembl. Lineage: Eukaryota; Metazoa; Chordata; Actinopteri; Ambassidae.